Molecule: long non-coding RNA, 827 nt
Organism: Falco peregrinus (peregrine falcon)
Lineage: Eukaryota; Metazoa; Chordata; Aves; Falconiformes; Falconidae
Exons: 2
Source: RefSeq, a predicted model, not a curated record
CACAAGUGCCAGAAGAACCUGGACUGAGGUUUGCUUAAGAACCAUCCGCCCAAUCUUAUCAGAAAAGCUUCCCUCCUCUGUCCACAAAAAAGUGAAGAUGCUUGAAAGCUCCUGGGAGGUAUAGAAGAGGCAAUGGGCACUGCUAUUAGCCAGAGACUGUCCAAAAAUACCUUGGCCACAAAUGGGGGAUAAUGGGACAACCUACGAGUGACACCAGUCUUCUGCGUGUUUGAAGAGCUGAACUCUUCAAAAAUCUCAAGUGAUCCUACUCCUGCUGCUUCAAGCACAGGGAAACCUGACUCCUUGGAAUGAUCCAAUAUGCAGGGCUCCUGCACGGGCUCCAGAUGAAAAACAUGUCAGUGGCCAUCCUGGUUUCAGCUGGGAUAGACUUAAUUUUCUUCUUAGUAGCUGAUGCAGUGCUGUGUUUUGGAUUUGGUGUGAGAACAAUGCCAAUAGCACACUGAUGUUUUAGUAUUGCUAGGUAAUACUUAUACCAAGUCAAGGACUUUUCAGUUUCUUGGGCCCUGCCAGCGAGAGGGCUGGAGGGGCACAGGACACUGGGAGGGGACACAGCCAGGACAGGUGACCCAAGCUAGCCAAAGGGAUAUUCCAUACCAUAUGACGUCAUGCUGAGUAUAUAAACUGGGGAAAGAAGAAGGAAAGGGGGGGACAUCUGGCAUUAUGGCAUUUGUCACCUGAUGGAGCCCUGCUUUCCUGGAGAUGGCUGAACACCUGCCUGCCGAUGGGAAGCAGUGAAUUAAUACCUUGUUUUGCGCUGCCUGCAUGCAUGGCUUUUUCUUUACCUAUUAAAUUGUUCUUAAAUCAAC